CGUGUAAGUUAUGUAAGUUAUAUAUAAAGCAAGCUUUACUGAUAUUUUAUUAUUUUAAUCAUGGAAAGCCAUAUCAAAUUAUUGUGUGUCUUCUUCAUAUUAGUUGGCCUUGUUCCGAAUGGUGUAGACGGGUAUAAUGUUUGUAAUCUAGAGUCCGUAACCGGACUAUGUAGAGCACGCUUUCUGAGAUACUAUUACAAUUGGCGAACGGCACAAUGUGAACAAUUUACAUACGGUGGCUGUGGGGGAAAUGGUAACAAUUUCCGAAGUAUUGCUGAAUGCCAGGCUGCUUGUCCGUAACAUAUGUAUUCCAGAAAGAGUUAAGAAUUACAAAUGGAAACAAAAUAAAAGAUAUUUAAUAAUUCAUAAUAGAAA
This is a long non-coding RNA of Mytilus californianus (California mussel), 375 nucleotides long. RefSeq lists it as uncharacterized. The record is from RefSeq and is a predicted model, not a curated record. Lineage: Eukaryota; Metazoa; Mollusca; Bivalvia; Mytilida; Mytilidae. The transcript has 3 exons.